AACUAUAAAGUGAAAAUUUAGGCUAAAAGGAGUUUAAUAAUUUUAGCUUUAUUAUUAAGUUAGUGUUAGUGAUAAUAUCUUAGUUUGCACAAUACAGAAUCUUGUAAAGAAUAUAUAUUAAUUAUAAUUUAGUCAGUGACGUAACGGAGGAAGAGGGGGCCCUUAGGCAUAUUUGGUGUGAGGGCCCCUGUGGACUGUUGUCAUUGUUUGACUGAGAUAUUAUUUUUAUAUUGAAUAUUUAUAGAAUGUUCUGGAAAAUUCCGUGUCUAUAAAGGUAACAGUCUCCAACACAUGUAACGAC
Paramuricea clavata is the source of this 301-nucleotide non-coding RNA. The record is from the annotation of a GenBank genome assembly. Lineage: Eukaryota; Metazoa; Cnidaria; Anthozoa; Malacalcyonacea; Plexauridae.